UACAGAGGGUGCGAGCGUUGUUCGGAAUUAUUGGGCGUAAAGGGCGCGUAGGCGGUGCGGUAAGUCACCUGUGAAUCUCCCGGCUCAACUGGGAGGGUGCGCCGAAUACUGAAUGACUUGGAGUGCGGGAGAGGAGAGUGGAAUUCCUGGUGUAGCGGUGAAAUGCGUAGAUAUCAGGAGGAACACCGGUGGUGUAGACGGCUCUCUGGACAUAACUGACGCUGAGGCACGAAAGCGUGGGUAGCAAACAGG
Molecule: ribosomal RNA, 252 nt
Filed under: uncultured bacterium
Lineage: Bacteria
Description: partial 16S ribosomal RNA
Rfam family: Bacterial small subunit ribosomal RNA
Source: RNAcentral